GGGCAGAGUCCGUGACUAGGCCUCUAGCCCCAGGGACCUAGGCGAGGACAGGCACUCCUGCUUUUCCAAGAGCACCCUGGCCCGCCACGCCCCCAGCCUGGGCCUAUAAACACCCACGACCCUAGCAAGGCAGAGACAGAAGCUGCUGGAGGGCGAGAGGAACGCAUCAGUGGAAGAAGACAGAAGCGGCUGGUCACGGAGAGCAUGUCAGCAGAAGAACACACCUACAGACGCCGGCUCGCCCGCGGGCUCCCCGGCAGGCCAUCGACCGGUGGGACGAGGUGGAGUUUGUCCUGGGCAGUAGGAGGACAGCCCGGGCACCCAGCGGCCCAACUCCAGGGGAAAGCCAUCUCCCUUCUGGAGCUGCCCAACUCCGGGGGAAAACCAUCUCCUUUCUGACUCUCCUGUCGGUGGAGAGUUACUUCCACUCAAUACGAUUUUGCAGUCAUUCUCCAAGCCCACGUGUGAUCCGAUUCUUCCGGUACACCAAGGCAAGAACCCGGGAUACAGAAAGCCCUCUGGCCUUAUGACAAGGUAGAGGGUCUAACUGAGCUAUAGACCGUGAACUAAGAGCGCACCCUGGAACACACGCCCUCUGGGGCUUCAGCUGUAAACAUCCACCCUUAGACACUGCCAUGGGGUUGGAGCCCCACAACCUGCCCAUCUCUAUGCCCCACUAGAGGUAUGACCAACGGGGCACUGAAGAGGCGAGCACACCCCAUCGCACGCCCUGCAAGGGGGACGGGGGAACCUUUCCCAUUUCAACACCACCGCUGUGGCUGCAUGUGGCUGCCAUAAGAAAAAGAACCCAUUCUUUGGCACAGCUGAAGCAGGACUCUUCUCGUUGUUCUCCAGAGUCUGGCUGGCCUGGAACGUGCCAUGACUGUACAAUAUGAUAGGAGGGAGACUGUACCAGCUCCAAGCCAGCUUUUCUGAUACCUGCAGCUUCUGAUUCCUCUGGAGGAGAAGUCAGCUACUAGCAGAGUCAACUUUGAGCCCUGUUGCAAUGGUUCUUCUUCUAAGAAAA
Molecule: long non-coding RNA, 1027 nt
Filed under: Homo sapiens (human)
Lineage: Eukaryota; Metazoa; Chordata; Mammalia; Primates; Hominidae
Description: HSALNT0371502
Source: RNAcentral